Molecule: ribosomal RNA, 345 nt
Filed under: Parahyliota sp. BYU CO855
Lineage: Eukaryota; Metazoa; Arthropoda; Insecta; Coleoptera; Silvanidae
Description: partial 12S ribosomal RNA
Source: RNAcentral
UUUAAAUGUAAAUAAAUUAAUAGAUUAGUAAUAGUUAUGUUCUUGAAAAUUAAAAAAUUUGGCGGUUUUUUAGUCUAUUCAGAGGAAUCUGUCCUAUAAUUGAUAAUCCACGAUUAAUAUUACUUAUUUUAUUAGUUUGUAUAUCGUCGUAAAGGAAUAUUUUUUAAAAAUUAAAUAUUCAGAAAGUUUAAUAAAAAAAAAGAUCAGAUCAAGGUGCAAUUUAUAAAUAAGAAGAGAUGGGUUACAAUAAAUUUAUUUAUGAAUAUUAAAUUGAAAAUUUAAUUGAAAUUGGAUUUGAAAGUAAAUUUGAUUAUUUUAUUAGAUUGAUUAAGCUCUAAAAUAUGU